This is a long non-coding RNA of Alligator mississippiensis (American alligator), 2005 nucleotides long. RefSeq lists it as uncharacterized. NCBI's taxonomy places the organism in Eukaryota, Metazoa, Chordata, Crocodylia, Alligatoridae. The record is from RefSeq and is a predicted model, not a curated record. The transcript has 2 exons.
UCCCUGCUCUUAAAGGGGCCGCACCAUUCACCACAGCAGCGCCUCUUCUCCCACGUGGGCAUCUCCCCCACCGGAGCUCGGGCGUAGGGAGCCAGCCCGGAGCCCGCGGGGCGAGGCGUCGCUUUCCAACCUCUUGAGGCCAGCCCCUGCCCCCGUGGGGUGGGCACCAGCCCGCCGGGCUGAACGGGCAGCGAAACCAGCCAGCCACCCCCACCUCGCUAAGGCACCGGGACCAGCAGGGAGCGCCCGAGGGGGCAGCUGGCCCUGCCUCGCCGCAGCCCAGCGCCAUGGGCUCACAGGAGGACGGGCCUCUGCUGUGCGCUGAGGGCCAGCCCCGGGCCACCGGCAACCACAGGCCCCCGGGAGCGAGGCCACAAAACGCCCGGUUUAAGUCCACGGGCUCGAACAGGACUGCAGGUUGGAGGCUGAUGGUGAGGCUGCCAAGAGAGGACGCCGAGCGGAGAAGUCCAGCCAGCACCCACUGCCUUUUAAAUGCAUCCAAGGAGCCAGUAGAUGCGCCCUGUGCUACCCUGCCUAGAGACGGGCAUGGACAAGGGAAAAAGAAAGGGGAGGAAGGGGCUAUCCAGCCCAGCCCUCUCCUGUAAGGCGGGGUCAAGGGUACCGCGAUCAGCCCGUGCCACGGAUUGGGCUGCCGGGGCCUGGGGAAGGAGAUUCCACGGACUCUGCUUGGCCUGGGUCAGCACUUCUCCAGAGUAAACGGCUAGGUGGGUUCCCUUCAAAUCCCUGCCUCAACCUUCUUGGCUGCAAAGUACACUGAUUUUUUUCACCCUUCCAGCGGGUGCCUUGGAGAACAGCUGGUCACCACCCCCUUUGUAAUGACCGUUUAGUAUCAGAAACCUUGUCACCCCCACCCCUGAGUCUUUUCUUUUCUGAAGGGAACCUGCCCAGGCCCUGGCCUCCUCAGUCAAAUUUCUACCCCUCCCGUCGUUGGUGCUGUUCACCUCCAGACUCUUCAGCUUGUCUACAGCUGAAAAAGUGUAGCAUCUCAAGCAGGAAGCAACACCCCAGCUGAAGCCUCCUGAGCACUGAAAGGAGUGGAUUAACUACCUGCUUCAUCUUGCAUCUGGCACUCGUGCCAACUCAGCUCAGAAUGAAAAUAUUGGCUCACACUGGGCCCUGAUAAGACCCCCUAUGCAACACCUCUGGGGGUGCCUUUCAGCUGAGCCAUUGCUGCUCCAUGAGACUGAAUUUUUUUCAGCCACUUGUGCAGUAGCUGCAUUAAUGGUUAUGUCUGGACCAGACUUCCUAAGCUGGUUUGUGAAACUGAUUUUGGACAGCAUCAACCUUCUUAAGUCUAAGUACAUCACAUCCACUGCUUCCCAUGUCCGCUAGGCAAGUUUACCUGCUAGAGAAAGAAUCUUUCCAAGGAUUGAAGCUGGGACUGAAUUCUCUGGGUCCUCCUUUUCUUGUUCUUUGAGGAUAGGCACCAUGUUUGACACCUUGGGACUGCUGCUGUUCCGAGAUGAUCACCAGUGGUUCAGAGAUGUCUUUGGCUCCUUGGACCACUCCAGGGGGAGUUUCAUUGGGCCUUGCUGAUCCGAACACAUCCAUCUAACUGUCCUCUAACCUGCUCUAUCUUCUAGCCUGCACUAGUAUCUCCUUGUUAAAGUUAAUUUAAUUAAUCAUUGGGUCACCAUUCACCUUUCUGGGGAAGGUUGAAGCCUUAAGCACUGCAGCCUCUUCUGUUGAAAUCCGUCAUUUGUCCUCUCCCAUUGAGUAACAGGCCCAGACUUCCCUUCAUUGUCCCACUACUGCCUGUGGGAGUCUUUGCUAGCUGAAAUGUUCUGAUCUCAGGCUGCCUGCUUGUGUGGCUCUCUCCUACUCACUGGCAGGAUGGUACCCUACUUUCCUCAUGGUUCCUUUCCAAUUGCUGGGUCACCGAGGGGCUCCUGGAGGAGUUAUAAUGGUCCUUUUCUCUGCUUCUGAUGUGUCCUUUUCAUGGGGUUGUUUGCUCUCACAUACUUAAUACAGUCUCUCAAUUCCU